UACGGAGGGUGCAAGCAUUAAUCGGAUUUAUUGGGCGUAAAGGGCGCGUAGGCGGGUUUGUAAGUCAGAUGUGAAAUCCCGGGGCUCAACCUCGGAACAGCAUUUGAAACUACUUACCUCGAGGGUAGGCGGAGAAAACGGAAUUCCACAAGUAGCGGUGAAAUGCGUAGAUAUGUGGAAGAACACCGGUGGCGAAGGCGGUUUUCUAGCUUACUCCUGACGCUGAGGCGCGAAAGCAAGGGGAUCAAACAGG
Molecule: ribosomal RNA, 253 nt
Filed under: uncultured bacterium
Lineage: Bacteria
Description: partial 16S ribosomal RNA
Rfam family: Bacterial small subunit ribosomal RNA
Source: RNAcentral